Molecule: transfer RNA, 75 nt
Filed under: Candidatus Methanoperedentaceae archaeon GB37
Lineage: Archaea; Methanobacteriati; Methanobacteriota; Methanomicrobia; Methanosarcinales; Candidatus Methanoperedentaceae
Also listed under: 1 other name
Description: Candidatus Methanoperedenaceae archaeon GB37 tRNA-Lys
Rfam family: tRNA
About the family: Transfer RNA (tRNA) molecules are approximately 80 nucleotides in length. Their secondary structure includes four short double-helical elements and three loops (D, anti-codon, and T loops). Further hydrogen bonds mediate the characteristic L-shaped molecular structure. tRNAs have two regions of fundamental functional importance: the anti-codon, which is responsible for specific mRNA codon recognition, and the 3' end, to which the tRNAs corresponding amino acid is attached (by aminoacyl-tRNA synthetases). tRNAs cope with the degeneracy of the genetic code in two manners: having more than one tRNA (with a specific anti-codon) for a particular amino acid; and 'wobble' base-pairing, i.e. permitting non-standard base-pairing at the 3rd anti-codon position.
Source: RNAcentral
GGGCUGGUAGCUUAGUCAGGCAGAGCAUCGGACUCUUAAUCCGACGGUCGGGGGUUCAAAUCCCUUCCAGCCCGC